UGUGGCAGAACAGUGCAAUAAAUUUAAGAUUUAUAUAAAAAGGAAUCUUUCUUUAGA
RNAcentral lists this transfer RNA (57 nucleotides) under Dilophotes sp. F LB-2014. RNAcentral describes it as "tRNA-Leu". Lineage: Eukaryota; Metazoa; Arthropoda; Insecta; Coleoptera; Lycidae. The record is from RNAcentral.